RNAcentral lists this ribosomal RNA (253 nucleotides) under uncultured bacterium. Its description in RNAcentral is "partial 16S ribosomal RNA". It matches the Rfam family "Bacterial small subunit ribosomal RNA", at positions 524 to 776 of the family's 1533-position model. The record is from RNAcentral.
UACGUAGGGUGCGAGCGUUAAUCGGAAUUACUGGGCGUAAAGCGUGCGCAGGCGGUUUUGUAAGCCAGAUGUGAAAUCCCCGGGCUUAACCUGGGAAUGGCAUUUGGGACUGCAAGGCUGGAGUGUGGCAGAGGAGACUGGAAUUCCCGGUGUAGCAGUGAAAUGCGUAGAUAUCGGGAGGAAUACCGAUGGCGAAGGCAGGUCUCUGGGCUGACACUGACGCUCAUGCACGAAAGCGUGGGGAGCAAACGGG